GAAGGAGGCCAAGGUCUGUGGCCGUCUCGAAGAUGACAUCGGCACGAAGGCCUCCGAGUUCUACAGGAAAAACCUGUCACCCAUGCAGGUUUGUUCUUCUCUUUCACACUUGAUUCAUGUUGUAGUGUUUCUGCAAGAAAGCAUUUGAUAUGCUGAUAGAAACUAGGGUUUUGUACUUAUAUCCUUUGAUCAUGCUUAUGAUUUUAGUAUGCAUUUGAGAAGGUUUUGAGGAAAACUUUGGAAAAUCGAUUCUCAUGAUCAAUUUCUUACAAGCAUUGCAGAUUAGGACUGAUGCAUCUUCUCAGUAUCACCAAUGCAGGUUUAUUCUUUUCCUUCACACCAUUCUAGAUUAGGACUUGAUGCCUGCAGUGGUGUUU
RNAcentral lists this long non-coding RNA (377 nucleotides) under Musa acuminata (dwarf banana). RNAcentral's name for it is "long non-coding RNA (MACU_LNC000634)". The record is from RNAcentral. Lineage: Eukaryota; Viridiplantae; Streptophyta; Magnoliopsida; Zingiberales; Musaceae.